UAAGUACCCCGAGGAAAAGAAAUCAACCGAGAUUCCCCCAGUAGCGGCGAGCGAACGGGGAGGAGCCCAGAGCCUGAAUCAGCAUGUGUGUUAGUGGAAGCGUCUGGAAAGGCGCGCGAUACAGGGUGACAGCCCCGUACACAAAAGCGCAUGUGCUGUGAGCUCGAUGAGUAGGGCGGGACACGUGGUAUCCUGUCUGAAUAUGGGGGGACCAUCCUCCAAGGCUAAAUACUCCUGACUGACCGAUAGUGAACCAGUACCGUGAGGGAAAGGCGAAAAGAACCCCGGCGAGGGGAGUGAAAAAGAACCUGAAACCGUGUACGUACAAGCAGUGGGAGCACCCUUUGGGGUGUGACUGCGUACCUUUUGUAUAAUGGGUCAGCGACUUAUAUUCUGUAGCAAGGUUAACCGUAUAGGGGAGCCGGAGGGAAACCGAGUCUUAACCGGGCGUUAAGUUGCAGGGUAUAGACCCGAAACCCGGUGAUCUAGCCAUGGGCAGGUUGAAGGUUGGGUAACACUAACUGGAGGACCGAACCGACUAAUGUUGAAAAAUUAGCGGAUGACCUGUGGCUGGGGGUGAAAGGCCAAUCAAACCGGGAGAUAGCUGGUUCUCCCCGAAAGCUAUUUAGGUAGCGCCUCGUGAAUUCAUCUCCGGGGGUAGAGCACUGUUUCGGCUAGGGGGCCAUCCCGGCUUACCAACCCGAUGCAAACUGCGAAUACCGGAGAAUGUUAUCACGGGAGACACACGGCGGGUGCUAACGUCCGUCGUGAAGAGGGAAACAACCCAGACCGCCAGCUAAGGUCCCAAAGUCAUGGUUAAGUGGGAAACGAUGUGGGAAGGCCCAGACAGCCAGGAUGUUGGCUUAGAAGCAGCCAUCAUUUAAAGAAAGCGUAAUAGCUCACUGGUCGAGUCGGCCUGCGCGGAAGAUGUAACGGGGCUAAACCAUGCACCGAAGCUGCGGCAGCGACACUCAGGUGUUGUUGGGUAGGGGAGCGUUCUGUAAGCCUGCGAAGGUGUGUCGUGAGGCAUGCUGGAGGUAUCAGAAGUGCGAAUGCUGACAUAAGUAACGAUAAAGCGGGUGAAAAGCCCGCUCGCCGGAAGACCAAGGGUUCCUGUCCAACGUUAAUCGGGGCAGGGUGAGUCGACCCCUAAGGCGAGGCCGAAAGGCGUAGUCGAUGGGAAACGGGUUAAUAUUCCCGUACUUGGUGUUACUGCGAAGGGGGGACGGAGAAGGCUAUGUUGGCCGGGCGACGGUUGUCCCGGUUUAAGCGUGUAGGUGUGUGUUCCAGGUAAAUCCGGUU
Molecule: ribosomal RNA, 1302 nt
Filed under: Salmonella enterica subsp. enterica
Lineage: Bacteria; Pseudomonadati; Pseudomonadota; Gammaproteobacteria; Enterobacterales; Enterobacteriaceae
Description: partial 23S ribosomal RNA
Rfam family: Bacterial large subunit ribosomal RNA
Source: RNAcentral